RNAcentral lists this long non-coding RNA (482 nucleotides) under Androctonus crassicauda. The record is from RNAcentral. Lineage: Eukaryota; Metazoa; Arthropoda; Arachnida; Scorpiones; Buthidae.
AUUCUAGAAGUUAAAAAGAUUGUCAAACAGCUAAUUUCAUUUUCUCCUAAUAUUCCUUAAGAUUAAAUGAUAAUAUUCCUUAUGAUAAGUAGGAAGGCAGUGGAGUUUGAUGAUAAUCCUGCAGAAGCUUUCCAAGCAUCUGCAAGAUUAUCAUCGGGGUCCACUGUCUUCCUACUUAUCACUUUAUUUUAUACUUUUUUUCACUUAUGCUCUUGGUAUAUUAUGUACCAUGUCCAAGUUGGGAUUUCUCUUCAUCUAACAACCAGAAGAUUCUCUUUAUCAACUGCUCAAAAUAGUUUUUCCGCUAUUCCAGUAUUUCCUAUUUGGCACUCUAUCAUCCUUACCGUUAACCGUUAUUGCUUGAUAUAAAUUUUUACAAUUUCGCUCUCUUUUUUUUUAGCUGUUCUAUUCAGAAUAAUCAAAUAGAGAAAGAAAUUGUAAAGAUGUACAUCAAACAAUUUUGAAAACUUCUUUGAUCCUAC